ACUUUGUUUUUGGAGGUAGCCUGUGAUGCAGGGCAGAAAAGAGCUGAUGCCUUGGAGAGAGACUGGGAGAGGCUGGAGUUAAUAGAGGGUCCCAGGGUAUCCAAGAAGCUGUCAUCCAGGUCUUCUCCAAUGAAGCUACAACAACCCACAGAGCCAGCAGGGGAACCUACACCUUCGAUGUCAUAUAUGAGCAAACAGUCAUUAGAUGGGCGUCCUUCAUCUUCAUCUGCAUGGAGUGAAUAUGAUGAUUCUGUGAAGGUUUAUUGCAACAUGACUUUUUCAGCACAGCAACAGGAAAAUUUGACUCUGGGUCUGUUCUACAAAAUUAAAGCUUUCUCAGCACAAAAAACAGCAUAGACUGUGAGUGAUGGCGGCCAUCUUGGUUCAUGUGUAAAGACUGAAUUUCAGUGACUACCAACGGCUAUUUCUUAGAAUGUGGCACUUACCCUGGGUUCAGGCUGUGGUCCUUCUACUGCCCAUGAAUGAAUUGCUCCAUCUGAACAUUCGGGAACAGGCUCAAAGCCAGCUGCACUACGAGGAGCACCUCCACAAUCACAACAGAUCAUCAAAAAUGGGACCACUGGUGGUGGAGGGAUAGUAAUACUAGAGUUAGCACUGGGUGCAAAUAAAAAACAAAACAACCUGAUUUUUUAUGGUUAAAU
This 662-nucleotide long non-coding RNA is filed under the name Homo sapiens (human). Its description in RNAcentral is "non-protein coding DSG1-AS1:11". Lineage: Eukaryota; Metazoa; Chordata; Mammalia; Primates; Hominidae. The record is from RNAcentral.